UACGAACCUUGCUAACGUUAUUCGGAAUUACUGGGCUUAAAGGGUGCGUAGGCGGUGCGGAAAGUUGGGUGUGAAAUCCCUCGGCUCAACCGAGGAAUUGCGCCCAAAACUGCCGCACUAGAGGAAGACAGAGGUACGCGGAACUUAGGGUGGAGCGGUGAAAUGCGUUGAUAUCCUAAGGAACACCGGUGGCGAAAGCGGCGUACUGGGUCUUAUCUGACGCUGAGGCACGAAAGCUAGGGGAGCGAACGGG
This 253-nucleotide ribosomal RNA is filed under the name uncultured bacterium. RNAcentral describes it as "partial 16S ribosomal RNA". It matches the Rfam family "Bacterial small subunit ribosomal RNA", at positions 524 to 776 of the family's 1533-position model. The record is from RNAcentral.